UACUUCUUCGGACAAUAUACAAGGUGCUGCAUGGUUGUCGUCAGCUCGUGUCGUGAGAUGUUGGGUUAAGUCCCGUAACGAGCGCAACCCUUGUCCUUAGUUACCAGCACGUUAUGGUGGGCACGUCUAAGGAGACUGCCGGUGACAAACCGGAGGAAGGUGGGGAUGACGUCAAGUCAUCAUGGCCCUUACGGCCUGGGCUACACACGUGCUACAAUGGUCGGUACAAAGGGUUGCCAAGCCGCGAGGUGGAGCUAAUCCCAUAAAACCGAUCGUAGUCCGGAUCGCAGUCUGCAACUCGACUGCGUGAAGUCGGAAUCGCUAGUAAUCGUGAAUCAGAAUGUCACGGUGAAUACGUUCCCGGGCCUU
RNAcentral lists this ribosomal RNA (369 nucleotides) under uncultured Pseudomonas sp. RNAcentral's name for it is "bacterial SSU rRNA". It matches the Rfam family "Bacterial small subunit ribosomal RNA", at positions 1014 to 1382 of the family's 1533-position model. Lineage: Bacteria; Pseudomonadati; Pseudomonadota; Gammaproteobacteria; Pseudomonadales; Pseudomonadaceae. The record is from RNAcentral.